RNAcentral lists this ribosomal RNA (500 nucleotides) under uncultured bacterium. RNAcentral describes it as "partial 16S ribosomal RNA". It matches the Rfam family "Bacterial small subunit ribosomal RNA", at positions 899 to 1397 of the family's 1533-position model. The record is from RNAcentral.
ACUCAAAGGAAUUGACGGGGACCCGCACAAGCGGUGGAGCAUGUGGUUUAAUUCGAGGCAACGCGAAGAACCUUACCAGGCCUUGACAUGUCCAGUUUGAUCGCCAGAGAUGGCUUUCUUCACUUCGGGUGGCUGGAACACAGGUGCUGCAUGGCUGUCGUCAGCUCGUGUCGUGAGAUGUUGGGUUAAGUCCCGCAACGAGCGCAACCCUCGUCCUUAGUUGCCAUCAUUAAGUUGGGAACUCUAAGGAAACUGCCUAUGAUAAGUAGGAGGAAGGUGGGGACGACGUCAAGUCAUCAUGGCCCUUACGGCCUGGGCUACACACGUGCUACAAUGGUAGUGACAAUGGGAAGCAACCCUGCGAGGGGAAGCAAAUCUCCAAAAACUAUCUCAGUUCGGAUUGUACUCUGCAACUCGAGUACAUGAAGUUGGAAUCGCUAGUAAUCGUAGAUCAGCAUGCUACGGUGAAUACGUUCCCGGGUCUUGUACACACCGCCCGU